RNAcentral lists this transfer RNA (74 nucleotides) under Camelus bactrianus (Bactrian camel). It matches the Rfam family "tRNA". From Rfam's summary of the family: Transfer RNA (tRNA) molecules are approximately 80 nucleotides in length. Their secondary structure includes four short double-helical elements and three loops (D, anti-codon, and T loops). The record is from Rfam by way of RNAcentral. Lineage: Eukaryota; Metazoa; Chordata; Mammalia; Artiodactyla; Camelidae. RNAcentral also lists the same sequence under 2 other names.
AAGGGUAUAGCUCAAAGUGGUAGAGCACAUGAUUAGCAUGCAUGAGGUCCUGGGUUCAAUUCCCAGUACCUCCU